This 158-nucleotide ribosomal RNA is filed under the name Saitozyma podzolica. RNAcentral describes it as "5.8S ribosomal RNA". It matches the Rfam family "5.8S ribosomal RNA". From Rfam's summary of the family: 5.8S ribosomal RNA (5.8S rRNA) is a component of the large subunit of the eukaryotic ribosome. It is transcribed by RNA polymerase I as part of the 45S precursor that also contains 18S and 28S rRNA. Lineage: Eukaryota; Fungi; Basidiomycota; Tremellomycetes; Tremellales; Trimorphomycetaceae. The record is from RNAcentral.
AAACUUUCAACAACGGAUCUCUUGGCUCUCGCAUCGAUGAAGAACGCAGCGAAAUGCGAUAAGUAAUGUGAAUUGCAGAAUUCAGUGAAUCAUCGAAUCUUUGAACGCACCUUGCGCCCUCUGGUAUUCCGGAGAGCAUGCCUGUUUGAGUGUCAUGU